RNAcentral lists this ribosomal RNA (533 nucleotides) under uncultured bacterium. RNAcentral's name for it is "partial 16S ribosomal RNA". It matches the Rfam family "Bacterial small subunit ribosomal RNA", at positions 355 to 883 of the family's 1533-position model. The record is from RNAcentral.
UGGGGAAUUUUGGACAAUGGGCGAAAGCCUGAUCCAGCAAUGCCGCGUGUGUGAAGAAGGCCUUCGGGUUGUAAAGCACUUUUGUCCGGAAAGAAAUCCUUGGCUCUAAUACAGUCGGGGGAUGACGGUACCGGAAGAAUAAGCACCGGCUAACUACGUGCCAGCAGCCGCGGUAAUACGUAGGGUGCAAGCGUUAAUCGGAAUUACUGGGCGUAAAGCGUGCGCAGGCGGUUUGCUAAGACCGAUGUGAAAUCCCCGGGCUCAACCUGGGAACUGCAUUGGUGACUGGCAGGCUAGAGUAUGGCAGAGGGGGGUAGAAUUCCACGUGUAGCAGUGAAAUGCGUAGAGAUGUGGAGGAAUACCGAUGGCGAAGGCAGCCCCCUGGGCAAUACUGACGCUCAUGCACGAAAGCGUGGGGAGCAAACAGGAUUAGAUACCCUGGUAGUCCACGCCCUAAACGAUGUCAACUAGUUGUUGGGGAUUCAUUCCUUAGUAACGUAGCUAACGCGUGAAGUUGACCGCCUGGGGAGUAC